GGCGGGACACGUGGUAUCCUGUCUGAAUAUGGGGGGACCAUCCUCCAAGGCUAAAUACUCCUGACUGACCGAUAGUGAACCAGUACCGUGAGGGAAAGGCGAAAAGAACCCCGGCGAGGGGAGUGAAAAAGAACCUGAAACCGUGUACGUACAAGCAGUGGGAGCACAGGUUUACCUGUGUGACUGCGUACCUUUUGUAUAAUGGGUCAGCGACUUAUAUUCUGUAGCAAGGUUAACCGAAUAGGGGAGCCGGAGGGAAACCGAGUCUUAAUUGGGCGUUAAGUUGCAGGGUAUAGACCCGAAACCCGGUGAUCUAGCCAUGGGCAGGUUGAAGGUUGGGUAACACUAACUGGAGGACCGAACCGACUAAUGUUGAAAAAUUAGCGGAUGACCUGUGGCUGGGGGUGAAAGGCCAAUCAAACCGGGAGAUAGCUGGUUCUCCCCGAAAGCUAUUUAGGUAGCGCCUCGUGAACUCAUCUCCGGGGGUAGAGCACUGUUUCGGCUAGGGGGCCAUCCCGGCUUACCAACCCGAUGCAAACUGCGAAUACCGGAGAAUGUUAUCACGGGAGACACACGGCGGGUGCUAACGUCCGUCGUGAAGAGGGAAACAACCCAGACCGCCAGCUAAGGUCCCAAAGUCAUGGUUAAGUGGGAAACGAUGUGGGAAGGCCCAGACAGCCAGGAUGUUGGCUUAGAAGCAGCCAUCAUUUAAAGAAAGCGUAAUAGCUCACUGGUCGAGUCGGCCUGCGCGGAAGAUGUAACGGGGCUAAACCAU
RNAcentral lists this ribosomal RNA (775 nucleotides) under Salmonella enterica subsp. enterica serovar Kentucky. Its description in RNAcentral is "partial 23S ribosomal RNA". It matches the Rfam family "Bacterial large subunit ribosomal RNA", at positions 416 to 1190 of the family's 2925-position model. Lineage: Bacteria; Pseudomonadati; Pseudomonadota; Gammaproteobacteria; Enterobacterales; Enterobacteriaceae. The record is from RNAcentral.